Molecule: ribosomal RNA, 253 nt
Filed under: uncultured bacterium
Lineage: Bacteria
Description: partial 16S ribosomal RNA
Rfam family: Bacterial small subunit ribosomal RNA
Source: RNAcentral
UACGGAGGGAGCUAGCGUUGUUCGGAAUUACUGGGCGUAAAGCGCACGUAGGCGGCUAUUCAAGUCGGGGGUGAAAGCCCGGGGCUCAACCCCGGAACUGCCCUCGAAACUAGAUAGCUAGAAUCUUGGAGAGGCGAGUGGAAUUCCGAGUGUAGAGGUGAAAUUCGUAGAUAUUCGGAAGAACACCAGUGGCGAAGGCGACUCACUGGCCCGGUACUGACGCUGAGGUGCGAAAGCGUGGGGAGCAAACAGG